Small nuclear RNA from Phyllostomus discolor (pale spear-nosed bat), 103 nucleotides. NCBI's taxonomy places the organism in Eukaryota, Metazoa, Chordata, Mammalia, Chiroptera, Phyllostomidae. The record is from RefSeq and is a predicted model, not a curated record.
GGGCUUGCUUCGGCAGCACAUAUACUAAAACUGGAAAUAUACAGAGAAAAUUAGCAUGGCCCCUGCUCAAGGAUGACAAAUUCAUGAAGUAUUCCAUAUUUUU